UACGUAGGUGGCAAGCGUUAAUCGGAUUUAUUGGGCGUAAAGGGCGCGUAGGCGGCUCGAUAAGUCUCACUGUGAAAGCCCGGGGCUCAACCCCGGGAGGCCAGGGGAUACUGUCGGGCUGGAGACAGGCAGAGGCUGGUGGAAUUCCGGGUGUAGCGGUGGAAUGCGUAGAGAUCCGGAGGAACACCGGAGGCGAAGGCGGCCAGCUGGGCCUGAUCUGACGCUGAGGCGCGAAAGCGUGGGGAGCGAACAGG
Molecule: unclassified non-coding RNA, 254 nt
Filed under: uncultured Gemmatimonadota bacterium
Lineage: Bacteria; Pseudomonadati; Gemmatimonadota
Description: uncultured Gemmatimonadetes bacterium contains 16S-23S intergenic spacer region
Rfam family: Bacterial small subunit ribosomal RNA
Source: RNAcentral